AGGACGAACGCUGGCGGCGUGCUUAACACAUGCAAGUCGAGCGGAAAGGCCCUUCGGGGUACUCGAGCGGCGAACGGGUGAGUAACACGUGAGCAACCUGCCCCUGGCUCUGGGAUAGCCUCCGGGAAAACGGGGAUUAAUACCGGACAUUCACUUCCUUCCGCAUGGUUGGUGGUGGAAAGUUUUUCGGCCGGGGAGGGGCUCGCGGUCUAUCAGCUUGUUGGCGGGGUAACGGCCCACCGAAGGCGACGACGGAUAG
RNAcentral lists this ribosomal RNA (259 nucleotides) under uncultured bacterium. RNAcentral's name for it is "partial small subunit ribosomal RNA". It matches the Rfam family "Bacterial small subunit ribosomal RNA", at positions 26 to 286 of the family's 1533-position model. The record is from RNAcentral.